Molecule: non-coding RNA, 45 nt
Filed under: Schistosoma margrebowiei
Lineage: Eukaryota; Metazoa; Platyhelminthes; Trematoda; Strigeidida; Schistosomatidae
Source: RNAcentral
AUCCAGUUGAUGUGUCCCAAAUAAGACGAAACGCGUUUUCUGAAU